AGUUUGAUCCUGGCUCAGAUUGAACGCUGGCGGCAGGCCUAACACAUGCAAGUCGGACGGUAGCACAGAGAGCUUGCUCUUGGGUGACGAGUGGCGGACGGGUGAGUAAUGUCUGGGGAUCUGCCCGAUAGAGGGGGAUAACCACUGGAAACGGUGGCUAAUACCGCAUAACGUCGCAAGACCAAAGAGGGGGACCUUCGGGCCUCUCACUAUCGGAUGAACCCAGAUGGGAUUAGCUAGUAGGCGGGGUAAUGGCCCACCUAGGCGACGAUCCCUAGCUGGUCUGAGAGGAUGACCAGCCACACUGGAACUGAGACACGGUCCAGACUCCUACGGGAGGCAGCAGUGGGGAAUAUUGCACAAUGGGCGCAAGCCUGAUGCAGCCAUGCCGCGUGUAUGAAGAAGGCCUUCGGGUUGUAAAGUACUUUCAGCGGGGAGGAAGGCGAUGUGGUUAAUAACCGCAUCGAUUGACGUUACCCGCAGAAGAAGCACCGGCUAACUCCGUGCCAGCAGCCGCGGUAA
Molecule: ribosomal RNA, 522 nt
Filed under: uncultured bacterium
Lineage: Bacteria
Description: bacterial SSU rRNA
Rfam family: Bacterial small subunit ribosomal RNA
Source: RNAcentral